Molecule: small RNA, 26 nt
Filed under: Bombyx mori (domestic silkworm)
Lineage: Eukaryota; Metazoa; Arthropoda; Insecta; Lepidoptera; Bombycidae
Description: ovarian small RNA-11975
Source: RNAcentral
AGAUUACGAAAAGAUGCUGGUUGCUC